GACGAACGCUGGCGGCGUGCUUAACACAUGCAAGUCGAACGGAAAGGCCCUGCUUUUGUGGGGUGCUCGAGUGGCGAACGGGUGAGUAACACGUGAGUAACCUGCCCUUGACUUUGGGAUAACUUCAGGAAACUGGGGCUAAUACCGGAUAGGAGCUCCUGCUGCAUGGUGGGGGUUGGAAAGUUUCGGCGGUUGGGGAUGGACUCGCGGCUUAUCAGCUUGUUGGUGGGGUAGUGGCUUACCAAGGCUUUGACGGGUAGCCGGCCUGAGAGGGUGACCGGCCACAUUGGGACUGAGAUAGGGCCCAGACUCCUACGGGAGGCAGCAGUGGGGAAUAUUGCACAAUGGGCGGAAGCCUGAUGCAGCAACGCCGCGUGCGGGAUGACGGCCUUCGGGUUGUAAACCGCUUUCGCCUGUGACGAAGCGUGAGUGACGGUAAUGGGUGAAGAAGCACCGGCUAACUACGUG
This 468-nucleotide ribosomal RNA is filed under the name uncultured bacterium. RNAcentral's name for it is "partial 16S ribosomal RNA". It matches the Rfam family "Bacterial small subunit ribosomal RNA", at positions 28 to 507 of the family's 1533-position model. The record is from RNAcentral.